UGGGGAAUAUUGCACAAUGGCGGGAACUCUUAUGCAGCGACGCCGCGUGAACGAAGAAGGCUUUCGAGUCGUAAAGUUCUUUUAUAUGGGAAGAUAAUGACGGUACCAUAAGAAAAAGCCCCGGCUAACUACGUGCCAGCAGCCGCGGUAAUACGUAGGGGGCUAGCGUUGUCCGGAAUCACUGGGCGUAAAGGGUUCGCAGGCGGAAAUGCAAGUCAGGUGUAAAAGGCAGUAGCUUAACUACUGUAAGCAUUUGAAACUGCAUAUCUUGAGAAGAGUAGAGGUAAGUGGAAUUUUUAGUGUAGCGGUGAAAUGCGUAGAUAUUAAAAAGAAUACCGGUGGCGAAGGCGACUUACUGGGCUCAUUCUGACGCUGAGGAACGAAAGCGUGGGUAGCAAACAGG
This 403-nucleotide ribosomal RNA is filed under the name Fusobacteriota bacterium. RNAcentral's name for it is "Fusobacteria bacterium partial 16S ribosomal RNA". It matches the Rfam family "Bacterial small subunit ribosomal RNA", at positions 355 to 776 of the family's 1533-position model. The record is from RNAcentral. Lineage: Bacteria; Fusobacteriati; Fusobacteriota.